This 468-nucleotide ribosomal RNA is filed under the name uncultured bacterium. RNAcentral describes it as "partial 16S ribosomal RNA". It matches the Rfam family "Bacterial small subunit ribosomal RNA", at positions 28 to 507 of the family's 1533-position model. The record is from RNAcentral.
GACGAACGCUGGCGGCGUGCUUAACACAUGCAAGUCGAACGGAAAGGCCCUGCUCUUGUGGGGGGCUCGAGUGGCGAACGGGUGAGUAAAACGAGAGUAAACUGACCUUGACCUUGGGAUAACUUCAGGAAACUGGGGCUAAUAUAGGAUAGGAGAUCCUGCUGCUUGGUGGGGGUUGGAAAGUUUCGGCGGUUGGGGAUGGUCUCGAGGCUUACCCGCGUGUUGGUCGGGUAGUGGGUUACCAAGGCUUCGACGGGUAGCCGGCCUGAGAGGGUGACCGGCCAGAUUGGGACUGAUACAGGGCCCAGACGCCUAGGGUAUGCAGCAGUGGGGAAUAGUGCGCUGUAGGCAGGAGGCUGGUGCGACGGCGCCGCGCGCGGUAUGACGGCCUUUGGGUUGUGAAGCACGUUCGCCUGGUACGUGGCGGGAUUGACGGUAGUUGGUAAAGAAGCACCGGCUAACUACGUG